This 2241-nucleotide long non-coding RNA is filed under the name Arabidopsis thaliana (thale cress). RNAcentral describes it as "long non-coding RNA (ATHA_LNC000025)". Lineage: Eukaryota; Viridiplantae; Streptophyta; Magnoliopsida; Brassicales; Brassicaceae. The record is from RNAcentral.
AAAGGUGGAACAAGAUUAUCUACACACAAGUCAAAAGUACACAGAAACAAGAGUAAGUUUUUAAAACAUGUAAUCCUGAAGACACAUACCACCCAAAACUCAUUAUGGUCACUGAAAUGCUUUAUCUAUUUUUGUGGGCAGUCACAGUGGUGGAGCUUAAAUGAUGAGAGAUACCGCGCUGUCAAUAGCUGUUACUGGGCUGCAAACUUCAUUAACCGCUGCAACAAGCUGGUAGAGCAAUUGCAGAAGGCUCUUGACAAGCUACCUAAAGGAGAAACAACCGAAGAAACCAUUGAUCAUGUAAAUGCUCAAUAUCAUUAUGAGAACCAGCUCAAUAUAUAGAGCAAUUCUAUAUCAUAUUUAACAUAACCCUUAAACUUUAUCUGCAUGUUUAGAGCCUGCAGUUCUCGUUACUCCAGCAGAAAGCACAAUUUCAAGAGCUAGACUAUCAUGGAAAAUGCGAAUUCAGAGAAUUUAGCAGAGAGGUACUAUUACUAGUGUUAAGCUUAAAUCCACCUCAAGAUUCAUCAAAGUUUAUUUACUAGAACCAUUCUGAAAUUUUCACUUACCAUAUAAAUAGCUAGACUGCAUUCGGAAAAAAAUGCCUAGGAGUGACCGCAGAAAAGCUGCACAUGAUCUCCUAAAAGAUGUUUGUAACCCCACUAGUCAUGACAGUUUGAGAAAAUCUGUGGAGCUGGAAAUAAAAGUAAGAUCUCUCAUCUUCUUUCAUUUGAGCACUAGUCUAUCUUACUUUAAACUAACCAAUGGGAUGAUGUUUGCAAAUUAACUAGGCUUUGAAGAAGCUGAUCAGAGAGCUUCAAAAAGACUGGGAAGAAAAACAACAUGUAAAGCAAUAUACAAAGAAUAAAUAUAAAGAUCUCGAACAAAAGGUGAAGCAUCUAGAGAAGAAAAAGGAACAACUUGCGGGACUGCGGGACGAAGAAAGAAAAAUCAUGUUCGGGACGAAGAAAACGCAUGAUAGGAAGAUAGGUACAUACCCUGAGGCUUAUUAUAUCAAAAUGUUGAAUGAUAAAUUACCAUGAUGAGUUGUAAUGAAUUAAUUUGGGGAUUGAUCAAAGCAUUAAUGUUCCUUCAAACAAAGAAAGGCAUAGCAAUCUCCAGUUAUUUCGUCAUUCAAGUGAUUAUAAGGAAAAGGUUUCAUAAGAAGUUAAUUUCCAGAAUUAAAUCUCUCAUAUUGAAACUCCCACAAUGAACAGCAAAUUCAAGUCAAAAAGCCUUUUAGCAUCAGACUAAAGUAUUGAGACUAAAUUAGUGAAGUUAGAACCAAGCCAAAAUGGAUAAUUUAAUUUAAUACAUACAAACCUAAUCAAUGAUCCAGUGACUAAUAAUCUAACAUAAAGACAAUUAGCAAAAGUGUUUUUCUUUCCAAGAAGGUAAACUUCCACGAAACAACGGAACAAAAACUAUCCCUUGUUCCCUAAGCUUGAGUGCUUGACCCAAAACAUUUCAAGUCAUUUCUCAAUAUAAAACAAUAAAACUGAAGAACUCAAAACCAAAGAAACGUCAUAAAUAUCACAGAACCAGCUUAAGCCUCAAAGUCACUAACCUUUUGAAUGGCGGCAUCAUCAUCAUCUUCUUCUCAAGUCAAAUUCAUAGAAAAAGCUCUUCUCGCCACCGGCUCCUUCGCUCUAUCAUACACAGAUCCUGAUCAAAAAUGGCUCAUCAGAAAGCACCUAACUUCACUCCUCCAAGAUUAUCCAAACUUCGAACUCUCAACCGAUACUUUCAACCACAACAACGGAGCCAAAGUUCAACUCUUUUGCCUUGAAGGAUCUCUACGUAUUCGAAGCUCCACUACACAACUCCCAACCGUACAAUUAACCAUUUGGAUUCACGAAAACUACCCAUUAACCCCUCCUCUAGUGUUUAUAAACCCCAAUUCAAUCCCAAUUCGCAACAACCACCCAUUCAUCAAUUCUUCAGGAUACACAAAGUCUAGAUACAUCGAAACAUGGGAACACCCACGAUGCAAUUUACUCGAUUUCAUUCGAAACCUCAAGAAAGUUCUCGCUAAUGAUCACCCAUUUCUACACACUGAUUCAUUAAUCCCUACUCGGAAUCAAUCCGUUUCCAGAACCGAAGCCUUAGAUCGAUUAGCCACGAGUCUCCACUACGACGUUCUAACAAUCAUGGAGAGAUCAGAGGAAGAGAUUGAAAACCUAUGGAAGCUUCAAUCAGAGGUGAAGCAAAGAUCUGAAUCGGUUAAAUCAAUCAUCACUG